CACCGCGGUUAUACGAGAGGCCCAAGUUGAUAGACAACGGCGUAAAGAGUGGUUAGGGAAAAUUUUUAACUAAAGCCAAACGUCCUCAAAGCUGUCAUACGCUCCCGAGUUAAGAAGUCCUAGAACGAAAGUAGCUUUAAUAGACCUGACCCCACGAAAGCUGAGGAA
RNAcentral lists this ribosomal RNA (168 nucleotides) under Teixeirichthys jordani (Jordan's damsel). Its description in RNAcentral is "partial 12S rRNA". The record is from RNAcentral. Lineage: Eukaryota; Metazoa; Chordata; Actinopteri; Pomacentridae.